Molecule: ribosomal RNA, 338 nt
Filed under: Trichoderma sp. BAB-3195
Lineage: Eukaryota; Fungi; Ascomycota; Sordariomycetes; Hypocreales; Hypocreaceae
Description: eukaryotic LSU rRNA
Rfam family: 5.8S ribosomal RNA (bases 1-99)
Source: RNAcentral
CGAUACUUGGUGUGAAUUGCAGAAUUCAGUGAAUCAUCGAAUCUUUGAACGCACAUUGCGCCCGCCAGUAUUCUGGCGGGCAUGCCUGUCCGAGCGUCAUUUCAACCCUCGAACCCCUCCGGGGGGUCGGCGUUGGGGACCUCGGGAGUCCCUAAGACGGGAUCCCGGCCCCGAAAUACAGUGGCGGUCUCGCCGCAGCCUCUCCUGCGCAGUAGUUUGCACAACUCGCACCGGGAGCGCGGCGCGUCCACGUCCGUAAAACACCCAACUUUCUGAAAUGUUGACCUCGGAUCAGGUAGGAAUACCCGCUGAACUUAAGCAUAUCAAUAAGCGGAGGA